Molecule: ribosomal RNA, 103 nt
Filed under: Telmatherina bonti
Lineage: Eukaryota; Metazoa; Chordata; Actinopteri; Atheriniformes; Telmatherinidae
Description: partial 12S ribosomal RNA
Source: RNAcentral
CACGGGCCCGUACGCUUACCGAGGCACAACAUAGACAGAACAUAGAAAAUUAUUCUCGGGAAAGGGGAGGCAAGUCGUAACAUGGUAAGUGUACCGGAAGGUG